Molecule: long non-coding RNA, 1479 nt
Filed under: Monodelphis domestica (gray short-tailed opossum)
Lineage: Eukaryota; Metazoa; Chordata; Mammalia; Didelphimorphia; Didelphidae
Description: lncRNA (ENSMODG00000050931.1)
Source: RNAcentral
CUUUCUCAUCUAUUAAAUGGGGAUGCUGAUUCUAUGUUUUAGGCAGCUCGAAGCCGUUUCAGCCUUUUCAGCCUCAAUUUUGUCAUCUAUUAAAUGGGGAUGCUGAUUCUAUGUUUUAGGCAGCUAGAAGCCGUUUCAGCCUUUUCAGUCUCAGCUUUCUUAUUUAUAAAAUGGGGAUGCUGAUUCUAUGUUUUAGGGCAAUAGUGGAUAGAAUGUUGGUCCUGGAGGCAGGAAGACUCAUCUUCCUGAGUUCAAAUCCUGCCUUAGAUACUUUCUAGGUGCCUGAUCCUAGGAAAGUCACUUAACUCUGUUUACCUCAGUUUCCUCAUCUGUAAAAUGAGCUGGAUAAGGAAAUGGCAGACCAUUCCAGUAUCUCUGCCAAGAAAAUCCCAAAUGGGGCCACAGAAAGUCAGACCCAACUGAAACCAUUGAAUGACAAAUAAUGCUUGGCCUUCCUACUUCUAGGUUACUCUGAGGAAAGCAUUUUAGAAACACGCAGUAAAGAAAUGUGGUACUUUAUUUGAACCUAAUUUCUUCUGGGCAACAUUCCCAUGAACUGAGCAGGGCAGCUAUCAUUCCCCCGCCCCCAAUCUUACAGAUGAUGAAACUAGGGUGAGGAGACUUGCUAGUGGCAGAGCUGGAUUUGAACUCAGGUCUCUCAGCUCCUAGUUAUAUGCUCUUUCCUGGGUACCAUACUGCCUCUCCAACUCCUCUCCCAUUUCAGUCAACUGCUUCAGUUUCCCCAUCUGUAAGAUGGGGAUAAUAAUCUCUGUCCUGCAGCCCUUGCAGCAAGGAUCAAAUGAAGUCCUGGAUGGGAGAGCACUUGGAUGGGGUAGUGAAAAGAGCCCUGAAUUUGGAGUCAGAGGACCGAGGUGUGAAUCUUGGCUCUGCUACUAACUGUGUGACCUUGGGUCCUGCUGCCCCCCAAGAGCCCCCGUUCCCGGACAUUUAUGGUGGUGAUGCCCAGCUCUGGGAGGCUCACUUCCGUGGCAUUGGUCGGGCUUACCGGGCCCUGGGCAAGGAGGAUGACUUCGCCAUCCGGGUGCUGACUGAGGACUUUACACUGCCCUUCCCUUACGCCUGGCCACCUGGACCUGACCCUGCCCGGGGUCCCCUCUUCUAUGACCCCCAGGACAGGACAGGCUUUGACUUCCUCCUGCGGCCUGGGGCACCCCCACCUGCCUUGCUCCGUCCUCUCCAUGCCACUGCACAAGCCUUCCUACGAAAGCGGCGACUGGAGCAGCUGGCUUUGAGCUAUGCCAGCUCGGGCGGUGGUGCCGCCCCACAUCCUGGAGUGGUCCUCCUGGCCCCAGCCCCGGGGCCCAAUAAAUUCCCUACCCCAGGACUUCCAGAUGGGAAAGGGGCCAGGGCCCCACUGGUCUAAGCCAGAGCAUCGUGUAGCAUGGGCAUUGCCUGUCUCCCUCUAGUGUCUUCUGGAAAAUGAAUAAAUAUUUUUUCUUCCUAUGUGUCCUGGAGCUC